Molecule: long non-coding RNA, 303 nt
Organism: Sinocyclocheilus rhinocerous
Lineage: Eukaryota; Metazoa; Chordata; Actinopteri; Cypriniformes; Cyprinidae
Exons: 3
Source: RefSeq, a predicted model, not a curated record
CCCAUUAAGCCUACAGGUCCCAUUGAGAACAGUGUUCCUUUGAAACCAUCAGGGUCCCUGCACACUACGCAGGGGUGCGGGAUGCUGUCCAACACAAAUAAUGAGAGGACACAUGACCGCUUCUGUGGAAACGGCAGCCCUCGGGGACCUGUGCGUGCGUGUGUUUUAUGAUGAGGCUGUGAAGAUUAAUUGAAGAAGACGAUGAUGCAGUUGAUGUAAACAGUUACCCGAGAGCAAAUAUCAGCUAUUGUUUUGAAUAAGGAGUACCGGGAUGUUCUUAGACAGGUAACCGCAGUAGUGGAG